Molecule: transfer RNA, 72 nt
Filed under: Camelus bactrianus (Bactrian camel)
Lineage: Eukaryota; Metazoa; Chordata; Mammalia; Artiodactyla; Camelidae
Also listed under: 2 other names
Rfam family: tRNA
About the family: Transfer RNA (tRNA) molecules are approximately 80 nucleotides in length. Their secondary structure includes four short double-helical elements and three loops (D, anti-codon, and T loops).
Source: Rfam by way of RNAcentral
GGGGAUAUAGCUCAGCCGCAGAACACGUGUUUAGUGUGCACGAGGGCCUCGGUUCAAUCCCCAGUACCUCCA